GAAUCUCACUAAUUUAUUUUUGUACGCUUACUUUUAUUCAUUGUUUUAGUUAAUUAAUCAAUCAAAUCUCAUCAUUCAAUUGUUCAAAUGAAGUCUUUGUUAAUCACAAUAUGUACUUAGUAAUUUAAAUCACUCUUCGUGGGAACGACACUUCACUUAUCACUGUAUUACUUGUGCAAAUUGUGCGCUCACAAUAAUUUCACAACAAGUUUUUGGCGUCACUGCCGGGGAGUGUCUUAAAUUUUAUUUAUAUCGAUAUAGAUUGAUUUGGGUUUUAAUUUGAAUUUUUUUUUUUCAGGUACUUCACCUAGUGCAUGAGUUUUGGGAGACUGUCGCUUACACCAUUAGAUCCAGAGAUCGAGCGAACGCUUCACAAGCUUAACAAACUGAAAAGGGAGAAGGACGCAAUAUUGGAAAAGCCAUCACCUAUGGCUGAGGAACCAAAAGCUGUAAGGGACUAUGAUGUCCUAUCUGUGGUGGCAUCACCAUCGAGCAUUCGUCGUCCAACCAUUGAUGCCAAUAAUUUUGAAAUUAGACCAUCCAUAAUUUCAAUGAUUUAG
RNAcentral lists this long non-coding RNA (560 nucleotides) under Prunus persica (peach). Its description in RNAcentral is "long non-coding RNA (PPER_LNC007136)". The record is from RNAcentral. Lineage: Eukaryota; Viridiplantae; Streptophyta; Magnoliopsida; Rosales; Rosaceae.